CCUACGGGUGGCAGCAGUGGGGAAUAUUGCACAAUGGGGGGAACCCUGAUGCAGCGACGCCGCGUGAGUGAAGAAGUAUUUCGGUAUGUAAAGCCCUUUCAGCAGGGAAGAAGAAAGAGGGUACCUGACCAAGAAGCCCCGGCUAACUACGUGCCAGCAGCCGCGGUAAUACGGAGGGGGCAAGCGUUAUCCGGAUUUACUGGGUGUAAAGGGAGCGGAGACGGUGGACCAGGUCUGGAGUAAAAUGCCGCAGCUUAACUUCAGAACUGCUUUGGAAACUGGCGAACUAGAGUGCGGGAGGGGUAAGCGGAAUUCCUAGUGUAGCGGUGAAAUGCGUAGAUAUUAGGAGGAACACCGGUGGCGAAGGCGACUUACUGGACCGUAACUGACGUUGAGGCUCGAAAGCGUGGGGAACAAACAGGAUUAGAUACCCGGGUAGUC
RNAcentral lists this ribosomal RNA (441 nucleotides) under uncultured bacterium. Its description in RNAcentral is "partial 16S ribosomal RNA". It matches the Rfam family "Bacterial small subunit ribosomal RNA", at positions 338 to 795 of the family's 1533-position model. The record is from RNAcentral.